UACGGGAGGCAGCAGUGGGGAAUAUUGCACAAUGGGCGCAAGCCUGAUGCAGCCAUGCCGCGUGUAUGAAAAAGGCCUUCGGGUUGUAAAGUACUUUCAGUCGUGAGGAAGGUGUUAAGGUUAAUAACCUUAGCAAUUGACGUUAGCGACAGAAGAAGCACCGGCUAACUCCGUGCCAGCAGCCGCGGUAAUACGGAGGGUGCGAGCGUUAAUCGGAAUUACUGGGCGUAAAGGGCACGCAGGCGGUUAAUUAAGUUGGAUGUGAAAUCCCCGGGCUUAACCUGGGAAUGGCAUUCAAGACUGGUUAGCUAGAGUCUUGUAGAGGGGGUAGAAUUCCAUGUGUAGCGGUGAAAUGCGUAGAGAUGUGGAGGAAUACCGGUGGGCGAAGGCGGCCCCUGGGACAAAGACUGACGCUCAUGUGCGAAAGCGUGGGGAGCAAACAGGGAUUAGAUACC
RNAcentral lists this ribosomal RNA (455 nucleotides) under uncultured bacterium. RNAcentral's name for it is "bacterial SSU rRNA". It matches the Rfam family "Bacterial small subunit ribosomal RNA", at positions 340 to 786 of the family's 1533-position model. The record is from RNAcentral.